UCUUCCACAAUGGACGAAAGUCUGAUGGAGCAACGCAGCGUGAGUGAUGAAGGGUUUCGGCUCGUAAAACUCUGUUGUUGGAGAAGAAAAGGUGUCAGAGCAAAUGUUGACAUCUUGACGGUAUCCAACCAGAAAGCCACGGCUAACUACGUGUCCACAGCCGCGGUAAUACGUAGGUGGCAAGCGUUGUCCGGAUUUAUUGGGCGUAAAGCGAGCGCAGGCGGUUUUUUAGGUCUGAUGUGAAAGCCUUCGGCUUAACCGGAGAAGUGCAUCGGAAACCGGGAGGCUUGAGUACAGAAGAGGACAGUGGAACUCCAUGUGUAGCGGUGAAAUGCGUAGAUAUAUGGAAGAACACCAGUGGCGAAGGCGGCUGUCUGGUCUGUAACUGACGCUGAGGCUCGAAAGCAUGGGUAGCGAACAGG
This 422-nucleotide ribosomal RNA is filed under the name uncultured bacterium. RNAcentral's name for it is "bacterial SSU rRNA". It matches the Rfam family "Bacterial small subunit ribosomal RNA", at positions 362 to 776 of the family's 1533-position model. The record is from RNAcentral.